This 480-nucleotide ribosomal RNA is filed under the name uncultured bacterium. RNAcentral describes it as "bacterial SSU rRNA". It matches the Rfam family "Bacterial small subunit ribosomal RNA", at positions 32 to 524 of the family's 1533-position model. The record is from RNAcentral.
AAUCAACGCUGGCGGCGUGCCUAACACAUGCAAGUCGAACGAGAAAGUGGAGCAAUCCAUGAGUAAAGUGGCGACCGGGUGAGUAACACGUGACUAACCUACCUUCGAGUGGGGGAUAACCUCGGGAAACCGGGGCUAAUACCGCAUAACAUCUUUGAAGUGGAAAUUUCGAAGAUCAAAGGAGCAAUUCGCUGGAAGAGGGGGUCGCGGCUGAUUAGCUAGUUGGUGGGGUAGCGGCCCACCAAGGCUUAGAUCGGUAGCCGGCCUGAGAGGGCGCACGGCCACACUGGAACUGAAACACGGUCCAGACUCCUACGGGAGGCAGCAGUGGGGAAUUUUGCGCAAUGGGGGAAACCCUGACGCAGCAACGCCGCGUGGAGGAUGAAGUCCCUUGGGACGUAAACUCCUUUCGACCCGGACGAUAAUGACGGUACGGGUGGAAGAAGCCCCGGCUAACUUCGUGCCAGCCGCCGCUGUAAC